Molecule: non-coding RNA, 1650 nt
Organism: Phoenix dactylifera (date palm)
Lineage: Eukaryota; Viridiplantae; Streptophyta; Magnoliopsida; Arecales; Arecaceae
Source: RefSeq, a predicted model, not a curated record
GCCCAGUCAAGUCGGAUCUAAUCACAGCAACUGGUGUGGUCUGAUUGGCCUAUAAGCAAAAGAGGAGGAGGAGGUGUUGUGUGCCGUUGCAAAAGGGCCUGGUGGACUUGAUGGAGGGGAGGGGAGGGGAGGGGGUGGGCUUAUAGAAAAAAGGGCCUGUUGGGCCUUUGAGGUGAAGAAGGGAUGGAGAGGUGGUGGAUCGGGCUUGUGUAGGGGUGAGGCACGUGGACUAGAGCCUGUGAAACGGACAGGAUGGAGUGGGGAAAAAGGCGGGCCUGAUGAAAGGAUCAGUCUGUGAGAAGGGAGGGUGAGUUGUGGUGUGAAAAGGGGAGAAAGAGGAAGUGGAGGCGAUUGGGGGUGAGGGGCAGUGGGUUCGGGCGGGCGGCGACGGUGGUGAUGGAUGAGGUGGAUGCGACUAGGCGGCAAUGGGGUUCGGGCGGCGGGCGGCAGUGGGGCAGCACGGGUGGAGAUCAGGAAGAGGACACAGGCAGAGGCGAAGGGUGGAGCGCGACGGAAGGGAAAGAGGCGGGCGGUGGUAAUGGAGAGGAGACGGAGGCGACGAAAGAAGGAGGGGCGGCGGUGGAGUCCGGCGGCUGCGACCUGCCUUUGCGCUCGACACCGAGGAUGAGGGGACUCGGCGAGCUAGGCGGCGUUGGCGAUGGCACGGAAGCGGCGACGAGUGGGGGCGAAGUGCGGUGGAAGGGCGGCUUAAGAGAGGUGGUGGGGCUCGACGGCGGUGGGAGAGGGGAGUCGGAAAGCGGCAACAGCGAUGCAGCGCGGGUGGAGGUGGAGCGGCACGGGCGGCAGUGGCGACGGUGCUAGGGCGAUCAGAGAUGAACAGACAUAUUCCGACAUUGAUAGAGCUGCAUGAGCAUCUCAGGCAGUUCCUCAUACAUCAGGCUCUAAGAGUUAUGCGAGGCGUGGAGAUGAAUUCAUAAGUUUUUUUGAAACUCUUCUAUCAUAUAUUAAUUCCUAUAGCUUGCCAAUGUACUUUUUAUUGUAGAUGGAAGAGCAUGAGAGGGAGCCUGGUGAGGUAGAGUUCUACCAGAUGACUCACACUCACCGAGAUGGCAGCUUUGUCCGAGAGGAGUUGAGAGAUAUAUUUGACAGGGAUACAUCCCUUAUUUCAAAGCGUGUUGGAGUCAUCAUCAUCCGGCAAGACCAGCCGUGUCAAAGCUCAGGUGUUCGCCAAAUUGAUGGGCUCGGAGCGUUAUGGUCGACUGAGGGGUUAUAGCGUUGAAGUUACCCCCACUCAAUUGUCUGCAGUGAACAAAUAUACCCAAAAUGUCAGACAAAGUAGAAACACUACAGAGGUUUAUAGUCUGAAGGCAGCGAUGGAGAAGAUGAGGUAGAGCUAUUAGACAGAGAUGGAGGAGAUAAGGUAGAGCCAUCAAAUAGAGAUACAAUCUUUGAGGGCUCAGCUUGACCAGAUUGCAUCUAUGUUGCCUAGGUUCAUGAUACUUUCUUUACUCGUAGAGAUAAUGAUGAUGGUAAUACCAUCGACCCCUAAUAGCUCUUAGACUAUUUAUUUAGAAGUUUUUUAUAUAUUUUUUUAUAUUUUUCGAAGCACAUUGUAAAUGUAAAUUGAUCAUAUAAAUGUAAUCAAAUUUGACAAUAUGAAUAUUUCAAACGAUAUGUUUGAUUGUGACA